This 815-nucleotide ribosomal RNA is filed under the name marine metagenome. Its description in RNAcentral is "bacterial SSU rRNA". It matches the Rfam family "Bacterial small subunit ribosomal RNA", at positions 89 to 906 of the family's 1533-position model. The record is from RNAcentral.
UGACGAGUGGCGGACGGGUGAGUAAUGCUUGGGAACUUGCCUUUGCGAGGGGGAUAACAGUUGGAAACGACUGCUAAUACCGCAUAAUGUCUUCGGACCAAACGGGGCUUCGGCUCCGGCGCAAAGAGAGGCCCAAGUGAGAUUAGCUAGUUGGUAAGGUAACGGCUUACCAAGGCGACGAUCUCUAGCUGUUCUGAGAGGAAGAUCAGCCACACUGGGACUGAGACACGGCCCAGACUCCUACGGGAGGCAGCAGUGGGGAAUAUUGCACAAUGGGGGAAACCCUGAUGCAGCCAUGCCGCGUGUGUGAAGAAGGCCUUCGGGUUGUAAAGCACUUUCAGUUGUGAGGAAAAGUUAGUAGUUAAUACCUGCUAGCCGUGACGUUAACAACAGAAGAAGCACCGGCUAACUCCGUGCCAGCAGCCGCGGUAAUACGGAGGGUGCGAGCGUUAAUCGGAAUUACUGGGCGUAAAGCGCACGCAGGCGGUUUGUUAAGCUAGAUGUGAAAGCCCCGGGCUCAACCUGGGAUGGUCAUUUAGAACUGGCAGACUAGAGUCUUGGAGAGGGGAGUGGAAUUCCAGGUGUAGCGGUGAAAUGCGUAGAUAUCUGGAGGAACAUCAGUGGCGAAGGCGACUCCCUGGCCAAAGACUGACGCUCAUGUGCGAAAGUGUGGGUAGCGAACAGGAUUAGAUACCCUGGUAGUCCACACCGUAAACGCUGUCUACUAGCUGUGUGUGUCUUUAAGACGUGCGUAGCGAAGCUAACGCGCUAAGUAGACCGCCUGGGGAGUACGGCCGCAAGGUUAAAACUCAAAU